This is a long non-coding RNA of Peromyscus californicus insignis, 1512 nucleotides long. RefSeq lists it as uncharacterized. The record is from RefSeq and is a predicted model, not a curated record. The transcript has 2 exons. NCBI's taxonomy places the organism in Eukaryota, Metazoa, Chordata, Mammalia, Rodentia, Cricetidae.
CUGGAGAGUCCCAGACCCUUCUGACGUGGUCAAGCUCAAAGUAGAGGCAGCAAAGAGGGAUUUGAUUGAGUAAGUUCAAAAGAGGGUACGUCCCACACAAGUGGGGCGAGUCCGGAAUGCACAUAAACGAAAAAAGCCAAACUUGACCUUUCCGAUUGUAAUCUAAAAUAUCUCUACUCUGAAACUCCCACGGAGAGCAAGGUAGACGGGCGGCCCACGUGGCACCUGUCACAUGGUGGGAUGCCAUUCCAUUAAAAUACUCUGUUACUAACGUCUCUUUUUGCAAGUCCUCCGGUUUCCGUCUCAGCCUCACCUCAAACAUCGGGCAGAUGAGGGCUAUGCACUCUGUCUUGCCCGAGUUUACAACAGGAUUGCUUCUAUCAGAUCUAAAACUAAAGGCCACAAGAGCAGCUACUCAUUGCGGGAAGGCGCACACCUUGUCAAAGAUAAAAUGAAAGCCAGGGAAAGCACGCCAACUUGGACAGAGGCGGACCCAUGGGCCCGCCACCUUCAAGGGCACAACUUCCUAGGAAGCUCUUUCCUCAAAGUCAAAGUGGGAACCCCAGAUCAUUAUGCAACCGCGGUGGACGCAUAAAGCAGGCAUUUCCAGCGGCGACAAAAGCCGGGGGGAUCCGGCACCAACUACCUUCCACCCUACGUUCAUUCAAACCCUCAGGACAAGUGCAGCUUAUCCCGUCCACAGGUGCGACGGAACACAUUGGGGUCCGUCCCUAAGGAGCCACAGCAGCCCCCAGCCAGCCAGAUCUGUUCUCUGUCUCCGGUGCGCCACGAGAUCCCCAUGACCAGUGCCACUCACCUGCAGCCACGGUCACCUGGGCAAGGAGGCAGCCGAGAAAGGAAACUCCGAGACCCCGAAAGGGGUGACUCACCCGUGAUUCAACCGCGCCGCUGAGCACCGAGCUGCCCCUUCGGCCCAGGCGGAUCCAGGUGCUGCAGAGACCCAGGCUGUCCCGCCGAUCCCUGGAUGACCAGCCUGAGUGGCUUUCGAAGAAGAAAGGAGUCGCGUUGGAGGGACCUGAGUUGAAAGUCAAGGGAGCCUUACUUUCCCUGUGUUUUCCAUGUAGUCUGCGCCCCUAGCAGAAGAUGGAUCAGGGUCCCUGGACCUUUCUGAAUAGAUCAGGGCAGUUCUAGGCCCUGCCUGAGCACCCAGUAGUUAGCAGAACAUUCGGCCAGUCCCUUGGUACAUUGUGCAGGGCGGUGCAGUAAAUACACGUGUCUGCCAUGGACAAGUGCCCUGGAUUAGAUCUAAAGGCCACUUGGCAUCCCCUCCCCAUACCCACCCCGUCCAGGUUCCCGUUCCCAGCUUCCGAGGGUGACUGAGGGACUGCAGCUUAAAGCCUGGGAGAAUUUGAGCAUGACUUCUGUAGCCAGGGGGUUCCAGGAAGGAUGGUUCUCACGUUGAGGAAGACAGCUGUGGGUUUAGAGGGAAUUCCUCCCAAAUACAGAGAAACAAAAAAUGAAACCGAAAAAUAAAUAACAUUCGGACUUCCA